UUCCGGUUGAUCCUGCCGGCGGGCACCGCUAUGGGAGUUCGCUUAAGACAUGCGAGUCGGAGGUGUACCUCGGCAGACGGCUCAGUAACACGCGGACAAUCUGACCUCGGGUGGGGAAUACUCUCGGGAAACUGAGGAUAAUGCCCCAUAGGUCUGGGAUGCUGGAACGCUUCCAGGCUCAAAGCUCGGCGCCCGAGGAUGGGUCUGCGGCCUAUCAGCUCGUAGGGGGCUUUACAGACCCCCUAGGCUUCGACGGGUACGGGCUAUGGGAGUAGUCGCCCGGAGAUGGAUUCUGAGACACGAAUCCAGGCCCUACGGGGCGCAGCAGUCGCGAAAACUCCACAAUGUGGGAAACCACGAUGGGGGAACUCCCAGUGCGCGCACUUUGUGUGCGCUGUUCUCGCGCCUAAAAGCACGAGAAGUAAGGGCCGGGUAAGACGGGUGCCAGCCGCCGCGGUAAUACCCGCGGCCCGAGUGGUGCUCAUUAUUAUUGAGUCUAAAACGUCCGUAGCCGGUCGGGUAGAUUCCUGGGUAAAUCGAACCGCUCAACGGUUCGAAUUCCGGGGAGACCGCCCGACUAGGGACUGGGAGAGGCGUGAGGUACUCCUGGGGUAGGGGUAAAAUCCUGUAAUCCUGGGAGGACCACCAGUGGCGAAGGCGUCACGCUAGAACAGAUCCGACGGUCAGGGACGAAGCCCAGGGGCGCAAACGGGAUUAGAUACCCCGGUAGUCCUGGGUGUAAACGCUGCAGGCUUGGUGUCGGGGGUCCUACGGGGGCGCCCGGUGCCGGAGCGAAGGUGUUAAGCCUGCUACUUGGGGAGUACGGUCGCAAGACUGAAACUUAAAGGAAUUGGCGGGGGAGCACCGCAACGGGAGGAGCGUGCGGUUCAAUUGGAUUCAACGCCGGA
Molecule: ribosomal RNA, 908 nt
Filed under: uncultured archaeon
Lineage: Archaea
Description: bacterial SSU rRNA
Rfam family: Archaeal small subunit ribosomal RNA
Source: RNAcentral